Molecule: non-coding RNA, 24 nt
Filed under: Arabidopsis thaliana (thale cress)
Lineage: Eukaryota; Viridiplantae; Streptophyta; Magnoliopsida; Brassicales; Brassicaceae
Source: RNAcentral
AGCUGAAUGCCUUCCUCGGUCGGA